Molecule: long non-coding RNA, 1217 nt
Organism: Ailuropoda melanoleuca (giant panda)
Lineage: Eukaryota; Metazoa; Chordata; Mammalia; Carnivora; Ursidae
Exons: 4
Source: RefSeq, a predicted model, not a curated record
UUAUAUUUUUGAACCUAACAUCCAGGCUUCACACAGGCGCUGAGACUGGGACCUGGUGGGCUCCCCGGCUCGUAGCCCCUGCAGGGGCCUCCCUCUGCUGCCCUCUGCUGUCGGGGGACGGGAGGCGACGCCCUCUCUGCCCUCCCUCCCAGGCCCUGCCGCUGCCGCCCCCUCCCUUAGAAACCGAGAGAAGCUGAGGUCCCUGCCCUCCUGCCUGCCCCACCCCACAGAAAUUCCGGGGGGCUGGGGCUGCGGGAGCUUUCCGUCUAGAGAAAGCGGCCAAGCCCCAGGAGGGGGGUUCCAGUUAGCCAAGAGCAGAUCCCCACCCCUCAAGGCGGGCAUACCACGCCCUCCCUGCCGGCCGCAAUCCCUCCCUCUGCGCAGCAUCUUCUGGGAGGGGACAGGCGGCCAGGCUGUGGCAGGUUUCUGACACCGUUUUCUGCUUGGAAAUGGAAACCCUCCUUCCGGCAACGUGGCAGGAAAGCGAAGUCCCUGGGCAACCCGGCCAAGAACGUUUGGGGUGUUUCUCUCUCAUCACGUGGAAUCUGUGUGCAAUGGAAGCGUCCUGAAAGGGAAAGAGAGGAAAGCAGACGCCUGGUUAGUGGUCAUGACCCUGCCAUGCGGAAAGAAAGGAAGCACAUAGGCUCUCACUGAAAUCCCCCAAAGCUGGAGAGUCCUUGUCACAGGGGAGAAGGAGGCUCCCACAAGGAUGAACACCAGGUCCAAGGAGGUAUCGUUCAGUGGAGAAGCUUGUUUCGAGCAUGAGCUGUGUGUGACACAUGGAGAGUUGAAGGUCCUGGUUAGGCCCCCCUCUGGACACCUGGUGGGAAGUGUGCAGGGCCUGCCAAGCCUCUGUCCCCAGCGGCUUCUCCAGGCAGCAGGCCUUCAUUCUCCCUCCCUGGCUCCGAUCAAGUUUCAGUGAACACUCUGAAUGAGAUUCAUGUGACAUCUGUCAAAUGCUUCUCUAGAAUUCAAGAAAACAUUCCAUCUACUUGUGUUCCUUUGAAGCACUAAUUUUCUUCUGUCAGGAGAAAAGAAAAGAAAGAGGAGGAAAGAAAAAAGCCAUCACGUGUUGCCUGGCAUGAUUUGUGCUUUGCGACCUUCCCCCCCAACCCCCCCGCAACACCCCUAAGACUGUUGUGACUCCCUCCUGGUUUUCUUAUUCUCGGGGAUAUGUGCACAGGCUUCCUCCCUCUGCCUAGUUCUGAUUAUCCUUG